CAAACAGUGACCUCCUGGUUCAUGGGUCCAUGCUCCACUGCUGAGCCACCCAGCUGGGUCACUUCUUGUUUCAGCGGCAGCAGGCUUGUUACAUUGUCUCCCAGGGUUUGUGUGAAUUGAAGAUAUUAUUUUGCAAGGUCCCUUGUGGAAAGAGUACACUGAUGUUCCAGGAAGAUGCCCACAACUUUCUAAAUCUGACACUUUCUCUGAAAACCUGGUCUAUUUGAGCGUGGAUGUCCAGUCCAGACGACACCAGAAGAGGCUAAAAAGUCAUCCUAGCUCAGGUGUUGGGAAGGGACUGGAAGGAUGGAGGGAUGGGCACUGGCCUGGGGGACUCUAACCAGGGCCGGAGCCAUUUCCAUCUUCACAGGAAGAGGCUCCUGUGAAGGCACUCAUUCCCCCCUCCCCCCGCCCCCCAAAACCCAGGCCUCUCUGAUUUCUGGGACACAGGGGGGCAGAGUCCUGUCCUCUCAGCCUCACGCUGGAGAAGGCGCCCCAGGGAGAACCGCAGGGCCCACCUGUGGCCUGCCCUUCGGAGCAUGCCACCCGGACCAGCUCCCCAACCCACCCUCCUGGGAGAGCCCAGCCUGGGAAGUCAGGCCCAACCCCUGGCCUUUGGGGGACCUAUUUUGGGGAGGAGCAGAGUUGGGAGGGGAGUUUGAGAUCAGGCUGUAGACUGUGAAUAUCCCUUUAACAGCUCGCCCUCACGCAGCCUGCUUUAUUGCUUUCGACAAUGCCUCACCUUUCAAUGCCCCUUUCUGAAACUAGGCUCAAGGGUGAUAUUCCACAAACAAGCAUGCAAAGUGCAUGUUCUGGGAAACGUGUCCUUGUUGAGAACAGCAAGUAAAAUACACGAAGGGAGUUAGUUCCAAGGACCUCGAUGGCCAGCCGGGGCUCGGAGCCCUGUUUCUGUGGUCCUUUUUGUUGCAGGAUGGAACCUGCCACCUUGACCGGGAAUCGAACCCACGACCCUUCGGUGUGCGGGCCGGCGCUCUAACCACUGAGCGCACUGGCCAGGGCCUGUGUGGACUCAACCCUGAUGGUGGAUGGAUCCUCUCAGCGGGUGCGCCAACCUGCAUUCCCACUGCCAUGUUCCCAUUGCCCUCGGAGGCAUGGAGCAGAGUCUCCCCGGGAGCCAGCCACUGCGCGGAACCCCCCUCGCUGACACCUCGCUUUCAGACUCCUGGCCUGCAGAAGCUUGAAAACAUACAUUUCUGAUGUUCCGAGGCACCGGUUUGUGAUCAUUUGCUCCAGCAGCCCCGGCGAACCGCAAACCUCAUUUCUGGUGCUGGGAACCCCAAGGCCCUUGAUGCCCGGAUGCCAGGCCACCCAUGUGCUCCUCUGCCCACGGGCCCUGAGGCUCUCUGUGGCCUUGGGAAAGGAGGGACAGGGCAGAAUGCUGUCCGAAGCCCACACUCCGUGCUCUCUGGGCAGCCACCCACCCAGAGGUCAGCGGCUGAGCUCUUCCUUUAAGAUUCAAUUUAGGCGCUGUGCUUGGGAUGCCUCCCUUGGCCCUCUUUCCUCUCCUUCCCUGUCCUAAUGAGCACGGAGCAGGUGCUCAACACACGUCUAUUAGAUCAACUGAAUGGGAAGGCAACGUGUGACAAGUGCUAGAAGACAGUUACAAACUACGAGAAACAGUGAAACGAGGCAAGACGGGGCGAAGGCAAGUCUAAAGGCCUCCGGUUCGCCAAGGCGGCGCUAGGAUCCUGCCUGCAGAUGCAUUAAUCUGUGCUCAGAGGGUUCCACGUGGCUGCGACCAGCUCUCGGGCGCCGCCUGCCGCGAUCGUGCCGCCGCUUCAGCUCUUUCUGGCGCCCCGCCCCUCCCCGGCCCUGAGCCCGCCUCGCACCUCCCAUUGGCUGGCUCCUGUUCUCCCGCCCCUCCUCGGCUCAGCCAUUCGGAGCCCGGGGGUGGGUGGGGCUUGAGGCCAGGGGUGGAGCGAGCGCCCCGAUUGGCUCCGAGGAAAGCGGCGACGUGGCGGAGGAGGCCGGUUUGGGCCU
Long non-coding RNA from Myotis brandtii (Brandt's bat), 2001 nucleotides. RefSeq lists it as uncharacterized. The transcript has 3 exons. The record is from RefSeq and is a predicted model, not a curated record. NCBI's taxonomy places the organism in Eukaryota, Metazoa, Chordata, Mammalia, Chiroptera, Vespertilionidae.